This is a long non-coding RNA of Vidua chalybeata, 340 nucleotides long. RefSeq lists it as uncharacterized. NCBI's taxonomy places the organism in Eukaryota, Metazoa, Chordata, Aves, Passeriformes, Viduidae. The record is from RefSeq and is a predicted model, not a curated record. The transcript is spliced from 3 exons.
AGCUGUAGAGUUAAUGGCAUACAUCCCAGAAAAAGUAAUGGGUUAAGAAAUAUUUUUGAAGAUGCCUGUAAGGAAUUUCUGUUCCAUGCUUGUUUAACACAGAAGUCAACAUUAAUAUUAAUGUGAGAAAAUUUAAAAUGUUGAUGUGAGAGGCUGGCAUUGUGAAGAUGAGGUAGAAAUCAGAAAUUUUUAACAUGAGAGCGAGACAGCAAAACAAAGAAUGAAGUUCUUUGCUUUCUGGAGGCAAAAAGAGAGUUGACUAUAGAAAAGUGAACUUGUGAAACCUGGGAGUCAGUCCUGGAUCAACCAUUAUUUCUCACUGGUAUGCAAUAGCUGGUAA